AGCUUUGUGCAGUGGCAAUAUUGUAGCCAAUGCAGUUUAUCUGAGGUGCGAUUAUUGCUAAUUAAAAACUCUUCCCAAUACCCUGCCACGACUACUUAAAAUACAGUCAGCAUUGGCAAUUUUUGACAGUCUCUAGGGAGA
Molecule: small nuclear RNA, 141 nt
Filed under: Microcebus murinus (gray mouse lemur)
Lineage: Eukaryota; Metazoa; Chordata; Mammalia; Primates; Cheirogaleidae
Description: U4 spliceosomal RNA (ENSMICG00000046170.1)
Rfam family: U4 spliceosomal RNA
About the family: U4 small nuclear RNA (U4 snRNA) is a component of the major U2-dependent spliceosome.
Source: Rfam by way of RNAcentral